GUUACGAAAUAAGGCGCAGUGUACUAGUCCCUGCGACGCGGCGGCGAGCUGCUCCGUCACCGCAGCCCUGUGUCCACGCUCCUCCUCUUCCAGUGACUUCUCCAGGGCGAGCCAGCCCUGCACGCCCCUGUCCGAACCUUAGUCCCCGAGAUCCAGGAGGCGACUGCUCCCGGCGCGCUGGAAGUGGGUGGUGGGGGGGUCGCCGGCCUCAAGGGAUUCCAGAAAGUUCCAAAGACACCACUCGGGGUCGCGGUGCCCUGGGGGAAACCGCUCCGACACUUCCAGCAGGCUAAGGAAGGAAGUUUCGUAGAGAGGAGACCAGGGACAGGGCAGGGACCACGGCCGAUAAAGGGUCCCGUGGGCCGUCCCUGUCGUGCCAAGGCGUCCUGGGGCAGCUGGGGCGGGAGUGGCCGGAAGCCCCAGGCAAACGCAGAGGCGGAGAUGACAUUCCAGGCUGGGAGACCGGGGAAGGCGGACAGGGAAGACAGACAACACAGGCUCGAUCUCACUAGGACCCAGGGUACCACGGCAUGGGACAGGAUGGGAAGGCUGGGCCGAUGAGAACACUGAAGCUCAAAGAAGUAAUUUGCCAAGGACUCCCGGGUAGAAAUGCCAGAGCAAGCAGUCAUACCCAGACACCUUUUGAUUUCAGUGCCUGAAGGCCUCACCAGAUGGGAACAAAACUUCUGCCACUCUUACACGGACACUGCCCUGUGAAAGACCCCAGGGCUCGCUGCAGAUGGCACCAGUUCACCAUCCUCCUCUUGACCCUGGGAGACGAAACGGACCAGGCAGAGGGAAAGCAGACCCAGCUCUUCUUCAGGGGCCCCAUCGGCAAGCACCCCUGCCCCAGCUCCUGCUCACAUCCGUACUAGGCCCUCCCCACCCCGCAGGCCCUGAGCAGGCUGCAGCCCGGUGGGAUGGGGUGCACUGCUGGGUCUGAUCCCUCCACAGUCCACACCCCACAGACACCGCACUCCUGGCUGGUCAUCAGCCUGUGCCUUCGUGCCCACAGGGCCUGACACGUGGCAGUUGCUCAGUAAAUGCUCGGAAAGGGAAGGAGGGGUCUAAGGCAGCCUUUGUUUCUUCUCCAUGCGAAGUCACAGUAGAAAUGGGAGUGACUGAGAGGAGAGAGAGCAGUGGCUGGGGAGUCAGAGAAGAAAAUUAAUGGCGAGACAUGGCUGUCCAGGGGCGGGGCCUCUUGGGCAGGAGGAGGGGAGGUGGUCACAUUGUCCUGUUGUCCUUUUCAGCCAGGCCAGGGAAAGUCCUGUCGCACAGCGUUACACACUCAGCGCCUACCGUUCAGGAGGAGGUCCUCUCAAGGUGCCCAGCAGGAUGUGUUGAACCAGGUCGGGCCCAUGGCUCAGUGGUUUAGCACUGUCCACUGGGAGCUGGACCCCUCAUGUCCAACCACAGCCCGAGUCCCAGCCUUAGCACAUGUUCGUAUGUGCCCAAGAUCCUGACAGAGGGGAGACGUGGAGGAAAAAGGAACAGCGUGACCAGGGCCCGUGACCAGGCCCUCCCCUUCCCCACUCUGGUGAGCGUACUCAUAAAAAGCGUGGCCAUAAAAAUAAUAAA
Long non-coding RNA from Tupaia belangeri chinensis (Chinese tree shrew), 1578 nucleotides. RefSeq lists it as uncharacterized. The transcript has 3 exons. The record is from RefSeq and is a predicted model, not a curated record. NCBI's taxonomy places the organism in Eukaryota, Metazoa, Chordata, Mammalia, Scandentia, Tupaiidae.